This 465-nucleotide ribosomal RNA is filed under the name uncultured bacterium. RNAcentral's name for it is "partial 16S ribosomal RNA". It matches the Rfam family "Bacterial small subunit ribosomal RNA", at positions 338 to 795 of the family's 1533-position model. The record is from RNAcentral.
CCUACGGGAGGCAGCAGUAGGGAAUCUUCCACAAUGGGCGAAAGCCUGAUGCAGCAACGCCGCGUGGGUGAAGAAGGUCUUCGGAUUGUAAAACCCUGUUGUUAGAGAAGAAAGUGCGUGAGAGUAACUGCUUACGUUUUGACGGUAUCUAACCAGAAAGCAACGGCUAACUACGUGCCAGCAGCCGCGGUAAUACGUAGGUGGCAAGCGUUAUUCGGAAUUACUGGGCGUAAAGGGAACGCAGGCGGUCUUUUGAGUCGGAUGUGAAAGCCUUGGGCUUAACCGGAGUAGUGCAUUUGAGACUGGGAGUCUUGAGUGCCGAAGAGGGGGGGGGAACUCCAUGUGGAGCGGUGAAAUGCGUAGAUAUGUGGACGAACACCAGUGGCGAAGGCGGCUCUCUGGUCUGUGACUGACGCUGAGGUUCGAAAGCGUGGGUAGCAAACAGGAUUAGAUACCCUUGUAGUC